UAAUGGAACAGAAGCAAAUAUUUAUAUUAGAAGUGCAGUUGAGGAUUUAAGGAUAGGUUUGUGUCCACUGUGGUUGGUAUUAUACGUCUGUUUGUCUGCCUUUACAUACAGGGUUUACUGUAGAUAAAUAACAUAUUUCAGUUCUGCUAAAUAUAAGUUUGGAAAUUCUCAUAAUUUUCAAGUGUCAUUUGACCAUAUUAAAUGAGAAAAAAACUUAAGAAAAAAAUCUUUUUUUACAAAGGAGACUGUAAUUGUUUCUUUUUCAGGUUUAGAAACAUAAAGCAUUUAAAAAGUAAAUUGCCAUUUAUACUAUAAUUUCUAUCCAUAUAAUUAAAAAUGCUGUGUAGAUUUAAUGAAGUAUCAAUAUUUCUGUUUUUUUAGAAAAAGCAAGGAGUUUAUUUAGCAUAUAUAUGCUUGAUCACAGUGCAGGAGGUUUUUGUACGGCCACUUAAUGAGUUUGUAUCACUGUGGUACACUUUUGGUGGAGGAACCAAACUCAUCAUUUACUCUGGCCCCAUGGUCAGGCCCUCAGUCUCUCUGCUUCCCCCCUCCUCUGAGCAGCUCUCUGGGGGCUCGGCCACGCUGGCCUGCCUGCUGACUGGCUACUCUCCUCAGGGAGCCGUGGUGAGCUGGGAGGUGGACGGUACAGAAGUGACAGAGGGGGUCCUGACCAGCUCAGAGGAGGAGAAGAGCGGACGCUACAGCAGCAGCAGCACCCUGAGCCUGAGCAAGGAGCGCUGGAUGGGAGGAGAGCUGUACUCCUGCAAGGUCCUCCAUCAUGACCACAGCCAGACACAGUCCCUCCACAGGAACCAAUGUAAGGGUUAGAGGGGCGGGCUGAAAUCUAGGACAGGAGCUCUGUGUGUGGGGAGCAGGAAGAACGCACCUACUGCUCUGAUCAAUAUGACUUUUAAUGUUUGUAGAGGAAACUAAAGCUUUGUGUAAUAGAGAACAACACAUUACUCUCUAAGUUGCUGCUGGAUAACAACAACUUAGAGAGUAAUGUGUGUAGCUCAGCAACUAGAUGUGAGUGUGCUUAAUAAUUGUCAUGUUGAUGACUAAUGAUUUUGCUAAUAAAGCUUGCACUGAUAAAUAUC
Micropterus dolomieu (smallmouth bass) is the source of this 1097-nucleotide non-coding RNA. The record is from the annotation of a RefSeq genome assembly. Lineage: Eukaryota; Metazoa; Chordata; Actinopteri; Centrarchiformes; Centrarchidae.